AUGGUAGCAAGACAAGAUGGUAUUCUGAAGGUGGCGGAUUUAUGAGAAGCUGGCAAAAAUAGGAGACAACAACCAGAUACAGAUUUUUUGCUGAGACAAACAACCAGUUAAUACACAAUAAGCUUUUAGGAAUGGAAUUACCAUGUAACUCAGAAGAAUGAGUCUGUCCUGAAAACAAGCUGCUCACCGAUCUUACCAACAGCCGCUCAACGCCUGAGCCACUGGGGGAACACACUGGAAUCAUGGUCUGAAGAACACAGAGCCAAAACAUAGUCUGAAGUCAGGUUCAAUCACCAGAGCAGUCAGCCAGUGAAAGCAACAGCAGACAAACAACAGGGAAGGAGAAUGCCAUCCAACUUCA
Long non-coding RNA from Octodon degus (degu), 361 nucleotides. RefSeq lists it as uncharacterized. NCBI's taxonomy places the organism in Eukaryota, Metazoa, Chordata, Mammalia, Rodentia, Octodontidae. The record is from RefSeq and is a predicted model, not a curated record. The transcript has 3 exons.